This is a long non-coding RNA of Sitodiplosis mosellana (orange wheat blossom midge), 640 nucleotides long. RefSeq lists it as uncharacterized. The transcript is spliced from 3 exons. Lineage: Eukaryota; Metazoa; Arthropoda; Insecta; Diptera; Cecidomyiidae. The record is from RefSeq and is a predicted model, not a curated record.
AAUGCUUGUCAAUGGUUCGCUUAUCAAAGAAAAAAAAAGGAAAAUAAGAAAUGAUCAACCAUAUUAUUAUUGUUUUUUUUCUUUUUCAAAACGGAACACAUCAAUUUAAUGGUCUUUCCGAUCGAGACUUGUUCUGAGUUGACGGUGGAUGUAAGAAUUGAGAAUAAAUUUUGCUCUCACGAAAUCAAUUUUACUUGAAACACUUUUAUCACCAUCAUUUCAUAGCAUGACCAUGUACAUGAACAAGUCAGAAACGUGAAGUCACUAAAACUGUACAGUCUUCAAACAAACUAUCUAUGAGAUGGCUUUUCGAUCAACCGAUUGGACAAACACAAUAAAACAUAGGGUAAAUCAAAGCAGCUGUGGAAACAGACGGCUGUUCAUGAAGAAUUCGAAUACAGUUUGGGUUAUGCUGGAGGAUAUUCCACUUCAUUGGAUCACUGUGCCGAUCAGUGUUCCUUAUUCGAUGGCCGAUCAACUAGCGAAUGCGAAGGGUGUUCGAGAAUUAUUAUUGAAAUAAAAAAAGCGAAGAUAUUUUCAACCAAGAAAUUGGUGAACUGUUCAAUCACAUGGAUUUCGUGUGGAGACCAAAUAGCGCUUCUCUAAUUCACACAAAAAUAUUACAAUUUUUCAAUAAAUA